This is a long non-coding RNA of Oreochromis aureus, 1338 nucleotides long. The record is from Ensembl. NCBI's taxonomy places the organism in Eukaryota, Metazoa, Chordata, Actinopteri, Cichliformes, Cichlidae.
CUUCGAUUAACAACUUGCUGGAGGCUAUUCAAAUUAGCCACACCGUGGGAUGUAAGGAGCUCUCUGAUUGGUUGGUCGGACACAGGCUGUCUGCCAGCCUGGAUUUUUCUAGCUCAUAGCUUCUCCCUGCUACGAAGCGUGUGUGCUUGUACAAAGGCCGUUCAGCGUCGGGAUUUACACUCGGCUCAACACGGAUAUGUGAAGAAUGAACGGAGCCUGCAGCGAAACGGAGAGCCAACCUCUGACUGAGUGCCUGUCUACACAUUCUGACCACCUGUUGAAGGGCUGUUUGAUGACGAUUUGGACUCCUCUGGGAGAUGAGGACACACCCACAUCUGUUCCAUACUGCAGCCAUUGAUGGUGUUACAGCUCUGAGUCAGCUUUGGGCCAUCAGACGCACACACUGGAAAACCAGCACCUGGACUUCAUGCAGGAGAGACGGCCUCAGUGAUAAUUCAUCAGCAGCUGUGGAGAGAUGCAUUUGAAUAUCUUCUGGUUCCACUUUUCCUUACCUGGAAGCUGAGUAUUGCUGAUUUCUGACAAGGACACAAACCUCAGUGCUUAUCAUGGGUGCUACAUCCUCUGUGCAGCAAUUCCAGAGAAAACGAGAGAGCAACGACCACUCAUUAAGACCAGCCAGAAAUCUGUCCCUUUCUGGCAGCUGUGGAAACUUCCAAUAAGAAAGUUUGCAUUCUUAGAACAAUGCUGGAUCAUGUGUGAUGUGUCAUCAUAUGAGGAUAUUACAUUUUGCCUUAAUUCUGCUCAAUUAAGUGUUUUGAUCGUUGAUCCAGUAUGGCAGCUUUGUGUUGUGCUGCAAGUUAAAACCCAUUGUCCUCAUGAGCACAGCAUCUAACAACUCUCCUUAAAAAAAAGUCGAUUGACUUUAACUGGACACAAUGGUUUCCAGUGGGAGAUGCAUUCAUCACUCAUCCGUGACACUGGAGAAGUCACCUGGAUGAGUGAUAAAACAAUUUUCCAUGGAAAAUCCAGAGGAACUAAACUUUGUUUUUGUUUCUUUGGGCUCAAUUUUGCCUGAGGCUGAAAUUGAGCCCAAAAUGUUUUCUUCUUUCAGAAGAAAACAUUUUGCCAAUAAUCAGAUAAAAAGAUUGUUGAACCAGGUGGUAUUCUCUGGAGUUUAAGACCAAAACUGAACUCAGUGAAUUGACAUUAGACUGGAAUUCAUAAGAUGAAUAGAAAUACUGCUGAAGCUGAAUGAUAUGUAUGUAUGUGUGUGUGUGUGUGUGUGUGUGUGUGUGUUCUUUGUUUUCUCCAAUUCACCAGGUCUGUAAAGUUCAGUAUGACUGUGGUACAUGAUACAAAAGAAUAAAUACAGAAGAA